GGGAACGUGGCUCAGUGGUACAGCACUUGCUUAGCAAGCUUGAGGACCUGGGUUCAACCCAGCACAGCCA
This is a non-coding RNA of Ictidomys tridecemlineatus (thirteen-lined ground squirrel), 70 nucleotides long. The record is from Rfam. NCBI's taxonomy places the organism in Eukaryota, Metazoa, Chordata, Mammalia, Rodentia, Sciuridae.